CCUACGGGCGGCAGCAGUGGGGAAUAUUGGACAAUGGGGGCAACCCUGAUCCAGCCAUGCCGCAUGUGUGAAGAAGGCCCUCGGGUUGUAAAGCACUUUCAGUGAGGAAGAACGCCUGGUGGUUAAUACCCAUCAGGAAAGACAUCACUCACAGAAGAAGCACCGGCUAACUCCGUGCCAGCAGCCGCGGUAAUACGGAGGGUGCGAGCGUUAAUCGGAAUUACUGGGCGUAAAGCGCGCGUAGGUGGCUUGAUAAGCCGGUUGUGAAAGCCCCGGGCUCAACCUGGGAACGGCAUCCGGAACUGUCAAGCUAGAGUGCAGGAGAGGAAGGUAGAAUUCCCGGUGUAGCGGUGAAAUGCGUAGAGAUCGGGAGGAAUACCAGUGGCGAAGGCGGCCUUCUGGACUGACACUGACACUGAGGUGCGAAAGCGUGGGUAGCAAACAGGAUUAGAUACCCCUGUAGUC
This 465-nucleotide ribosomal RNA is filed under the name Vreelandella stevensii. Its description in RNAcentral is "partial 16S ribosomal RNA". It matches the Rfam family "Bacterial small subunit ribosomal RNA", at positions 338 to 795 of the family's 1533-position model. Lineage: Bacteria; Pseudomonadati; Pseudomonadota; Gammaproteobacteria; Oceanospirillales; Halomonadaceae. The record is from RNAcentral.